Molecule: long non-coding RNA, 13427 nt
Filed under: Capsicum annuum
Lineage: Eukaryota; Viridiplantae; Streptophyta; Magnoliopsida; Solanales; Solanaceae
Description: long non-coding RNA (CANN_LNC001938)
Source: RNAcentral
CCAAAGUAAUAGAUUGUAUACUACAAAGCUUCCAUAACCCUAACUAAUAAACUUAGCUACUCAUGAAUAAAACAGAAAUCACAAUAGAAUUAUUCAUCAUACCAAAAAGUAGAAGACGAUCUUGGUAUGCGAAUAGUGAAAAUAAGAGAGAAGAAACAUUUUCUCUCUAUCUCCCCAAGCUAAGCCGCCACUCUCCUUUCAAAACCUAAUACAGAAUAAUUCAAUAAUGAAUAAAAAUUCAGCAUUAAGCCUUUUAAUAAUCCUUUCUCUCAUAAUUGCCUUCUAAGUCCCUAAACUAAUUAUAAAUGACAAACUAGUCUUGGAUAUAGUUUCUAGGCGCCAUAUUUGGUCCAGACUGCUACUCUCUCUUGUGUCAUAUGCAAUCCACAUUCCAUAGUCCCACUAUGUCUUCAUCUACCUCAUUAAUACCUGAAAUCAUGCUAAUCAAAUCGGUUAGCUCAAUUACACAGAAGUAGAGUAAAAACAUAAGAAACUAGGCAUUUUGUUCUCUAAACUUAGCUAAAACAUGAAUAAGUUAUGGUGCUUAGGCGUAUAAAUACACCCAAGAUCACCACCCAACACUUAAAGCUUUGUUCGUCCUCGAACAACAUAUCCAUUUAUGCAUACUACACAAGCCUUAGCACCCACAAAGGAAGACAAGAUGCUCAAAUAGGCUCACACAACAAUUAUGAACAAGAAGUAGAUUCAGGAAUCAUUUCUAGAGACAACCUACCCUCAAGAAUAGACUCAUUAAGUUGGCAAUUUCAUGCAUACCAUUUAAGGAAAGAAAUCAUAUAAAUUACCCAACCUUCAUUAACCAUGUGCCCUCACAACAAGAAAGUUACCUAUAAUCACUCUCAAUCAUGCAAUUUCUAACAAAAUGGGUACAAGAAUCAAGUUGCGCUCACUCUCACAAAGAAUUUUCAAAUUACAACUGAUGACCAUAUGCUUGCCCUUAGUGUAAUACUUCACUAAUAUCCGAAUGCUAAGAUUAGGAUCAAAUAGGUCUUUUACGGGUUGUAAUGCAGGCUAAAGGAUGGGUAGGAACAAUUUUGGCUAGAAAUACUGACUAUCUUCCCUAAGCACUUUAAUACACUACAUUAUGCAAUUAAGACCAAUCUCUAACAACCAACUUCCACUUCUGCUAUCUUCACAGAUUGUUUUACACCCCAAUUCAUUAAGCUCAAUUAAUAACACUAUGGUGGGAGUAUGCAACCCUUUCAAAUAUAUUUUUUUACACCCUUUUCACGUUACGCACCCCUAUAAUAGCCACCCUCAACUUAAGUGAUUUGCCUUAGUUGAGGUGCACAAUGUCCAAGAAGGACCAGGGCCAAAACAGGUUCAUUGUAACAUGUCUAGGAUAAAAUUUAGAACUUUUUUUUACAAUUUUUGCUACUCCCAACCAUAUCAAUUUCACACGCUAAUAACUAGACUUUGGGGCAUCAAUUUCACCUUUUUCCUCUAAUUGUCAAACUCCUAAUUCAAAUUGAUUUUACAUUAAAGCGCUUAGGAGCUUUUGGAUCAAAUUACGAUCUAUUAAAGAAUAGAAUAGGCUAUCUAUGAGGCUAACAGAAGAACAAACUAAAGGCUCAACGGGGCUAGCUAAGAUAAUGUACAAAGGUAGGUCAAAAAAAGGUAUGGACAAUGGCUAUAAAAAAUGCCUAAAUCAUCUCCUAAACUCACAAUCUUUAUUUUGCUGUGCACACACACCAGGAAAGUUCUAGCAUCAGUUGCAAUAAGGAAUAUACAACAUUCUUACUCACUCAUGGCAUAUGGUCAACUCAAUUAGGAGCAUUAUAGAUUCUCGACCAAACAAUUAUAUGAAUUCAAAUAAAACCAACAAUCACAACAAGAGUCACAACUAGAGCCUAGGUGUUUCAAAUAUAAUGAUCCAUCACAUACUUAUGUUAUAAUGUCAUGUGAUCCAAAAGAACAGUUACAUGCAAUUAAAUGACUAAUUUUCUCUUAAGACGAUCGUCAUCUAUCCAUUAUUGAGAAAAACACCUCAUUAUGACUAAAUAGAAUAAACAUCUAACAAGAAACAAAAUAAACAAAAUAACUAAUCCUAUCACAGAAGAAUGCUAAGGAGAAGGUACUAUUUUCGUACAAAACAAGUAGCAAAGUAACCAGCCACCCCACACUCAAGCUUAGCACUUUCCCCAACGCAAAUAACAAGAUAAAGAACCUGGCUAGUAGUACUCCUCAUCCACAUUAGGAGUUAUGCCACCUGCAUUGAGAUCAUCAUCAAAGCUAUUUUUCCUAUGUUCAUCAUAUCAUCCACGUUAUCCACACAUAAUGAAGCUAACUACAAUCAAGAUAAAGGUGGUGAAGUCACCGCCCCACACUUAAUUUGUUAUUAUAAACCAAUUAAAUGUUAUUAUCGGGGGUACUCAGACUUCGCCGACAUACACUUUGGUAUGGUGUACCUACAUUAUUCACAAUAUAAUUCACUCACUUCAAUUCCCCCAAUUCUAUUUCAAUGAAGCACUUUUUAAACAGAAUCAUGCUCUACACUUUCAACCAUACCAAAAUAUACAAAACAUUAUCACUUUCACAAUAUCGCCAUGGCAAGAAUUUAGUUCGUAAUCCUUAAGAAAUCAAUUAACUAUAACAUAGAGUCACAAUAACUAAGGCUUAAAAAAGUAAAAGUUACCUCGAAGAUGGAAGAUUAGUGAAGGACAAAGAGAAUGGUGAGAUUUAAUAUUGGAUGGCUUAAGGGUGAAAUAAGGAUGAAUUUGGGCUUUUAGGGUGUGAAGUCUAUUUAAAGAAUGAAAAUCUGGGUCGAGUUGAUCCAAGUUAAAGUUGGAAGUUGGGUUUUAGGCUUAUUUGGACUAAGUGUGCGAUGCACAUCUUAUCGUAUGUCUCAAAGUGUGCAUCGCAUACAUUAUCGCACAGUUGGGACAGUGAGCCUAUGCGGAGAAGUGGGUGACGCACUACCUAUCACAGACAUCAAGGUGUGCGUUACAUAAGGAUCGCAGACUUAAGGCAGUGGGCAUAUGCAGAUAGGUGUGCGACGCAUAUCUUAUCGCACAUGUUAAAGUGUGUGACGCAUAAGUUAUCACACGCAUCAAGGUGUGUAGCGCAUUGUGCAUCGCAUAGUUGGUCCAGUGAGCAUGUGCAAUGGGAUGUGUGGCACACUCUUGGUCAUACGCAUAAAGGUGUACGAUGUACACAUGCCCUCGUUUUGCCUGGUGUGAAGCAAUGCACCUAUGCUAAGUGCUAAAUGAUGCCCUUACAAAGAUUCAAGUGAAAUUGAGCGCCACACCCAAUAGUACACUUAAAAUUCGACAAUAUGCACAAUAUUUUUCAUAUGAGGCAGUCGGAAAGGUCCAUACCGCGGGGGCUUUGCCCUCUCACCCCGAUCGAGGUCAGUGGUGGGCUUUGGGAUCGGGCCUAAUGGCUCGAUCCCUACGUUACCACCACAGACCUCAUUAAAAGUCACAAAAUAAAGUUGCACCGUAAAACUUUUGGGUCAGAUUAACAUAAUUCGAGGCAUGACUCUAAUGCGAAUCAUACUUGAGCAUUACACAUUUGACCACUCCAACUUACCUGUAAUGUUCCCAUCACUCCUAAACUUACCACCAUUGAUAUAGCUCAAUUCCAAAUCAAAUUUGGUACUAAUAUCCUCCUUAGUACUUCAUGAACCUACACUUACUCAAAAAUAACAAAAAUGAUUAGAAGAAUGGGUUGCCUCCCACCAAGCGCCGUAGUUUCAGUCAUGGCUCGAAUCUUCUUUUUGUAUUUUUGUUUAACAUGAUAAAGUGAAAAUAAAAUCAUGGGUUGACUUCUAUGUAGCGCCUGAUUUAAUGUUGUGACACGACUUGAUUAUCUUGACUACUCAGACUUCAUCAAGAUACAUCGAUAAUACCAUUUGUACCUCAUUUAUUGGAUCAAGACAAUGCUUUAUUCCUAGUUCAACUACUUUGAAGUCAUUCACAUCCUUGCUUGCAAGUUCAACCAAACCAGCUAUGGUCUCCACAACAUACCUAUCCUUAAUAGGUACAUCUCGCUCAUCUUCAUAGAUAACAACAAUAAUCGAGAAGACACUCAUCUUCUUUGUUGUUUCAUAGACCGACAUACAUCAAAACUAACUUCUUUCUCAUUGAGCCUACAUUUUAGCUCAUUCAGCUCCAUGUCAACUAACACUCUCCCAGUUGCUAUGAAUGGCCUACCCAAAAUUAUAGGUACUGGAAAGUCUACUUCACAAUCAAGAAUUACAAUGUCAGUAGGAAAUAUAAAAUCUACAACUUUUACAAGUACAUCAUGUAGAAUCCUAAUCGGCCUUUUUACCGAUCUAUCCACUAUUAGAAGUUAUAUAUUGGUGGGCGUAGGAUCUCCCAAACCUAGUUUCUUAAAAACCAUCAAUGGUAUAAGAUUUAUAGUUUCCCCAAGAUCAUAAAGGGCCUUUUUAAACUUCAGAAAUCUAAUCGUACAUGGAGUAGUAAGUGCUCUCGGAUCAGCUCUCUUCUGGACAAUAGAUCUUGUAGCAAUAACACUACAAUGAUGAAGAUUCUCUACCGUUUUAUAGCUUACCGUAAUUUUCUUUGUUAGCAGGUCUUUCAUAAACUUAGCAUAUCCGGGCAUCUGUUCCAGUGCUUUAACUCAGGGCACAUUCACUGUCAACUGCUUCAACAUAGCCAUGAAUUUUCUAAACUUGCCAUCAUUUUAUUUCUUCUUUAACUGUUGUGGAAAUGGGGGUGGUGGCCUUGGGAUUUCAGUUGGAGCAAUUUUUACCUUUUUUCUUAUGCGUUGCUCCACAUCACUAACAUGUUUCGGCUUAGUUAGUUGUUCCACUUCCGCACUCUUUUUUUCUGAACCUACCAACUCCAUAGGCACCACUGAAGAUUCAUCAACCAUCUCCCAUUCUAUUUUGACUGCAUAGUAUGAGAGGAUGCUUCCAAUCUUGGACUAGAUAACAUAUUACCGCUCCUAGUAGUAAUGUCCAUACACGAUCCAUCAGUCCUCGGAUUCUGCACUGUAUCACUUAGUAGAGUCUCAUUCUGUCUUUAGUUGAAUGCUGCGGAUAAUUGGCUCAUCUGCUGCUCCAGUUGUUUAAUAGCAAUUGAGUGCGAGUUUACUAGUUGACUCAUGAAAGAUAUGUCACUAUUCAUAGUAAUCACCCCAGAAUUGGUCGCCUCAACUCCCUUUAAUAGUUUUUCCAUCAUGUCCUUCAUGGAUAUUUUGCUUGAACUGGUGGAAGCAUUAUCACGGUUUCCAGGAGGUACAUAUAUUCUACUCCUGUCACUUUUAUUCUUCCAAUCUCCUUGAUGGUUCCAACCUUGGUUUCCUUGACCACCGGUCCAGAAACCCCCCUGGUUAUGCAAGUAGUUAGCCUCUUCCUCAGUGUUUGAUUCAACUCCCUUACUAUGGGACCCCAUAACUUUUACCUUUUCUAUAUUCCCUGCUAGUACAUAUUUCGUAAGCAGAUCCACCUGGGUUUUAUGUGAGCCAUAUCCUAAUCACGCUUCUCUUCUCUCCUACGCUACUCUGCUGAUAUUAUACUAGACCCAGUAUUACUUGCUACCACAGAAGCUCUAGUAUGCCAAGCUCUACUUGUCUUAGUCAUUCUUUCUAACAUGUCUGCAGCCUUAGUAAAGGUGAGCUCCAUAAAAGCUCCUUCUACAGCAUUAUCCACUAUUGGCUUUGUAAGUGAGUUCAAAGCUCUAUAGAAUAUUUCCAUCAAGUGUUCGUAAGUCAUCUUAUAGUUUGGGCAUUGAGUCAACUUUCUUUUAAACCUCGCCCAAGUCUCAUGCAAAGCUUCAUUGGCCAAUUGCCUAAAGUUGUUGAUCUCAUCACUCAAUUGUAACAUUCUGGAGGGCGAAAAUAACCUUUCUAGGAAAGCUCCUUUCAAUUGCCUCCAGUUUUAUUAUAGAAUCAGGAGUCAGCUCAUUUAAUUAUAUCGUUGCCUCUCCAGACAGAGACAAUGGGAACAAUCUUACAUGAAUAGCAUUUUGUCCUACUCUAGGAUUAUCAAAUGACUUACAAAUACUGAUGAAAUUCACCAAAUGUAGAUUUGUAUCAUCACCAGGUAAUCCACCAAAUAGUCCUUUUAGAUUCAGUAGUUGGAUCAUAGUACUAUUGAUUUUUAAUUUCACCCCAGGAGCUAGUGGUGGUAGAAUGAUUGCCCCUGUAGAUCCAGUUCCAUCUAAAUCAUCCUCAUCGUUGUCAACAUUAAACUGUGCAGCUUGGCAGCCAGGUCUUCCUUUGAAUAAACGAUUUCAAUUUACAGGUUCAACUACCCCUGCUGCACGCCUCGUAUUAGCCGGGUUAAUUAAAUCAUCAUCUCCCAGGUCCUCUUCAUCUAGAUUAGGUACCCAACCUGGGCUAUCUGUAUUCUAUAGAUUUAAUUAAGCAUUAGCCAAAGCGGCUAAUCUUUUAGCUUCCUGUUGGUUAGCCAUUCUUUCAAUAAGAUGAGGUUCAGGAUUGAAGGGUAAUAAUGGUUCUUCUAAACUUCUGGUUCAUGGCAUAAACAACAAUGAGCCUAUAAUGAACAAAAACAACAAAUAAAUAUAAAAUCAGGAAACUUGACUAAUAGUCAAUUAACACAUAUAAACUCAAUCGACAACCGUAUUGCCCGGCAAUGGCGCCGAAAUUUGAUACGCCCAAAUUACACCUCUCUUACGAGAGAGUAAGCGGUCGUUGUCAAAUAUGUAACCCAACUAGGUUGGGGUCGAAUACCACAGGGAAUAUGGUGUUAAUUAAGUUGUAUGCAAAUUAGUUGACUUUUAAUCGUUCGUUUCCGUAAAAUAAAUAGGGGGAUUUUAUUUAGUUCACAAAUUAAUGGUUUCGAUUUAACAAGAUGAAAUACGUGUAGUAGUAUUAAAAUUCAGAGAAAUAGCAAGCUAGGGUUAUGUUUACCUUGUAGUUUUCAAUACUUUCUAACUAUGGGCUUUUCGAAUUCAUACAUGCAUCAUGCUUACAGAGAAACAUAUUGUAUUUAAUAACAUAAUACUAAUGUUUCUCAACCAUCAAGGACUAAUUCACUUUAGUUCUCUCAAAUCAAAAGCAUUUACCAAAAACAAUACGAAAUCUCCAAGUAGUUAAUCCUGCUAAGGCAUUAACAUAUGAAAUAGGGGUUGGUAAUUCUACUUUCUCAUCACUACUCUCUUUUUCGAACAUCAACCUUUCUUUCAAACAAGUUGCAUUUUAAGGCAUAUCCUCUAUGUUUGCAACCACGAGAAUUCAAGAUAAGCUAAGAGAGUAUGAUGUAAACAAAUCAAUGCAUAAUGAAUUGAAAACCCAAAGUAAUAGAUUGUAUGCUACAAGGCUUCCAUAACCCUAACUAAUAAACUUAGCUACUCAUGAAUAAAACAGAAAUCACAAUAGAAAUAUUCAUCAUACCAAAAACUAGAAGACGAUCUUGGUGUGCGAAUAGUGAAAAUAAGAGAGAAGAAACAUUUUCUCUCUCUCUCCUAAAGCUAAGACGUCACUCUCCUUUUAAAAACUAAUACAGAAUAAUUCAAUAAUGAAUAAAAAUUCAGCAUUAAGCCUUUUGAUAAUCUUUUUCUCUCAUAAUUGCCUUCUAAGUCCCUGAACUAAUUAUAAAUGACAAACUAGUCUUGGACAUAGUUUCUAGGUGUCACAUUUGGUCCAGACUGCUACUCUCUCUUGUGUCAUAUGCCAUCCGCGUUCCAUAGUCCUAUUAUGUCUUCAUCUACCUCAUUAAUACCUAAAAUCAUGCUAAUCACAUCGGUUAGCUCAAUUACAUAGAAGUAGAGUAAAAAAUAAGAAACUAGGCAUUUUGUUCUCUAAACUUAGAUAAAACAUGGAUAAGUUAUGGUGCUUAGGCGUAUAAACACACCAUAGAUCACUCCACAUCGCGGAGAGGUCCAAUUUCCAAUUUGGCAAUUUCCAGUAAACCAACGCAAUUUGGCCACAUUGCGUUGGUGGCCUAAAUGGCAUUUCUAUAGAGCACCGCGAUGGUGGCUUAUCGCGGAUAUCUUCCAAUUCCCACUCGUCAUUUUCCAGUGAGCCACUGCGAUAGUGGCGCGUCGCGAUGGUCUGCCAAUUCAAAAAAAAUAUUGCUUUUUCCCAGUUUCGAUUGAAGUUUAAAAGGGGUAGUUUGGUUAAUUCCCAAGCCCCCAAUUCAUGUAAAACACAAGGUUUAGCCCAUUCUUAAGUACUUUAUACAGUUUUCAUCCAUUCUCUUCAAAAGAAAAUCCCUAGAGCUCCAAAGCUUCUUCUCCAAGAAAUCUAAUUCCUCCAUUGUUUCUCCAAGAAGCUCAAAAUUAAGGAUUCUCAAGACAAUAUAAUCAAGAACUCAUCUUCAAGAACUCAAGUAGGAAUUAAAAAUUUAAGUUUCUUCAUCUAAUCAUCUACCAAGGUAUGUGGUGUUCAUGAACAAGGAUCCUCUUUCAUCCUUGUGCCCAAAACCAAGUUUUUAUUUCAAAUUUACAUGAUUUUGAAUGAUUAUACAUGAGUUUUAAAUUAGGGUUCAUAACCAAUGUUUCUAUUUGCAAAGAUUAUGAGAUUUCAAAGGAUUUAUUAGAUGAAUUGCAUGUUUAUUUUCAUAUCUUCAUGCCUAUUGCAGUAAAUUUCAGAUUUUGAGAUGAAUUAUCAUUGUUUUCAUUACCAAGCAUGAUUAUUAUGAUGUUUUGACAGGAGAUUGAAGCAUGGGUUACUAAGCCCAGGAUUAUAUGUUGGUAUUUUAAGAAAGAUAAUGCUUUAAACAUCCUAUGAUCAGAUUAUUUACAACUUUCAACAAUGUUUCGAUCUUUUGAUCUUCAGAUAAGAUUUGGAAUCCUCUUUACAGAUUUAUUACCGACUACAAAAUUCAAAAAAUCUUUAUUUAUAGAUUUAAUCAAAUAAAUGCAAAAUUAGUUUCAGAAUAAAACCUUAUGCCAGUUUUUAAAGUGGAUUUUCAAUAGAAUGAGCAUACAAAUUUAAAAGGGAGUAGUAUUUAGCACUGAACGAAAAGUAUGGGAUUAUCAUUCCCUAUCUUCCACAGAACUACGUAGCCAAUGUAGGUAAAUAUUAUAAGAUUAUUCCCAUUCCAAUAUGGAUGACAGUUAUAGAUGUGAUCACUUAGCUCAGGUUAUACUCCUUGGCAAGAGUAUGACACCUCUUUCUAUCGUGAGAUUUUUCCCUUAGGGGAAUGAGAUGUUGGACUCAAUGUUAGCUUACAUGGUUUAUGUAGGUAUAAAGAAGCUCCCUAAAAGAAAAAUACUAUAGAAAAGAAUAACAGAAAAACUUUUAGAAAACUAAGUGUAAAGGCUCACAACUUUACUUAGAUGAUGCUUUACAGAAAGAUAAGAUUUAUAGAUUUUAACUUUCAGACAUAGAAGUGAGUCCUUUCUGCACUCUAACAGUUGAUUUAAAGCCAGAGUAUUAGUAUACCUUUCAGAAUUAAAUGUUAUGCCUUACUAGAUUUACAAAGUAUGAUUUGCUAUUCAUGAUUUAAGUAUUUCUGAUAUUCUAGCUUAUGUAAGUCAUUUACAUUUAGCAUGCAUUCUUUUGCAAAUUGAUAUAAAUGUUAAGAUUAUGUUUUACUUAUGCAUUCACCCCCAUAUACUCAGUACAUCCUUAAAGUACUUAUCCACAUAUAUGUAUAUGUGCUACAUUGUCUCAUAAUGUAGGUUUAGGUGCUCAGUAUCAUCCACAUGAGUAGUUCGAGCAUCUCCAUCUACAUCCGACAGUUGGUGAGUCCUCAUAGUUCGGGGACUUAGUUAUUCAAUUUAUUUUUAGCUUAUCAGAUUAGAUGACUCAGUAUUCUUUUUUAGACAGUUCGAGUCAGCAGGGGGUUUGUCCUAGUGACUCUCUAGUUCUUAGUAGUAGAGACUUGUUAGACUGCUAGAUAUUAUUUAGACUUACAAUAUUAAUUUUUAGAUAUUACAUUCAGUUAUUCUCAGCUAUCUUAGAUAGUUUUCUGUAUUUACUAUGAAUUUUAUGUCGAUAUUUUCUUUAUUAUGAGAUUCAGAUUUAGUAGAAGGCAAACAGGGUUAGUUUAAGGCUACUCAUAGUCUUGAGCACCGUAUGACAUCUAAGGAUCAAAUUUCGGAUACUCCAUAUGCUAAGUGUGGAAAGAAUCAUCCUGGUGAGUAUUUGGCUAGAUAGAAAGGCUGUUAAGGUUGUGGUAAGUUGUGAGAGCAACUCAGAGUCAUCAAAAAUCUUAUGCAAACAUAUGAAGAAGAGAUCUUGAGUUCGAGGUUGAUGACCUUGUGUAUUUGAAAGUUUCACCUAUGAAAGAGGUGAAGAGAUUUGGCAAGAAGAGGAAGCUUAGUCCCCGAUAUGUAGUCCUCUUCCGAAUUUUGAGUCGUGUUAGGAAGGUGGCGUAUGAGCUUGAGCUACUUACAGAUAUAUUCUCAGUUUAUCCAGUAUUCCAUAUGUCCUUGUUGAAAAUGUGCAUGGAUGAUUCAGCCAUUAUAGUUCUUCUAGAAAGUACAGAUAUUUAGAAUAGCCUCUCAUAUGAAGAGGUUCCAGUAGAGAUUUAUGAUCAUCAGAUCAGUAGACUAAGGAACAAAGAAGUUCCCUUGGUUAAAGUUCUAUGGCGAAAUCAGUCCGUUAAGGGUGCUACUUAGGAAACAUAAGCAGACAUGCCUACCAAGUAUCCUCAUCUCUUCUCUAUGAACUCAGAUUCAGCCAAAGGUAAUAGUCUUCCUUCAUUCAGCUCUUUUCCAGUCUCAGAUUCAGCCAUAUAGUUAUUUUCAUGUAAAUUCAUGCACUCGCAGAUCAGUUCAAUAGCUCAGUAUGUUUUAGAUUCAGUUGUUCAUGAUAACUUAUAGCCCCAGAUUCCUCAGUAUUUUCAGCUUAACAAGACAUAUUCGAGGAUGAAUGUUCCUAAGGAGGAGAUAUUGAAAUACUUCGUACUUUUUCUAGCUUAAUUUCACUCCUAGAAAGUCAAGGGCUAAAUUCAAAAAUAAAUAACUUUUGUCACAUGUGGCUUUUUCCAGAUUUAGAUCCUCCAUUGUGUAGAAAAUUGAAUAAUAUUUCCAUCGAUACCAAAUUUACCUAAAUUUGAUACGCGGUUGAGAAGUUAUGGUGAUUUUAGUGAAGCAGUGUGUCACCGUGGCACUCACCGCAUCACGGAGAUGGUUAAAAUCCAAAUCGUCAAAUUCCAGUGGACCUCCGUGAUUGCUCCACAUCGUGGAGAGGUCCAAUUUCUAAUUUGACAAUUUCCAGUAGGCCAAUGCGAUUGGACCGCGUUGCAUUGGUGGCCUAAAUGACAUUUUUAUAGAGCACAACACUGGUGGCAUGUCGCGAAGAUUUUCUAGUUCCUACUCAUCAUUUUUCAGUAAGUGUCAUGUCCCAUUUUUCUUGUGGAAAGUGGGAUUUGACGUGACCACUCUUUUUGGGAUUGUUUUGAGGUAGAGUAUGAAGAGUCGCCACCCAAUGAAUUAAGGUGCGUUAGGGCACCGGUCUAGGCUACUACGAAUCUAUUUUGUUGUUUUGUCUUAGUUUACCAGAGAUUCGGGUAAGGGUUCAAAUUACCUCGAAAGAAAGGUGUUAGGCACCUAUCAAGGUCCACAAAGGUGGUUCCCGGCCGAAUUCGUAUUUUACGUGAGGAUUCUAUGUGAUCAAAUAAGGUCUCAUGUUUUAUUAACUUAAAUGUUAAUUAAGUGAUAAAGUAAUUAAUAAGCAAACAUAUGUAUUUCAUCAUUUUUAAUUAUUAAUUAUCUAAGUGAUAAAAAUCAGUAAAACAUAUAGUAAGACAAGCAAGGAGAAAGAAGGAAAAACAAUUUAUAACAAAAUGUUUUAUAUUAAAUUAAGAAACAUAAACUAUCCUUUGAAUAAAAUUGUUUGAGGAAAAUGUUUGUCGCUUUUAUAGGAAAGAUGUCACGAUAUUACUUAUCGAGCUCUUUUACCUUAGCAACAAUUUGAUUGGAGGUCGGUCUUAAGUAAAAAUAAUAAUAAUAUAAUUUUCGAAGACAAGGGAAAAUUUGAGUUUUGAAAUAUAAACACAAAAAUAUUUACAUAUGUAUAGAUACACAUAAUCUUCAUGUUUUUAAAAACGUUGGUGAGUGGUACUUUCGGGAACGCAAUGGCUUAGUACAUUGGAAUUAAACCUCUUAAUUCCUUUUACUUUUCCACUAACUAUAGGCUAGGAGAUAAUAUUUGUAUAAAGAGGAGUAAAAUGUCAUGUCUAGUCUAAAUUAUGAAGUCAUGGACCGCAUAAUGAUUUUGACAGGGAAAUAAAAAGUCAUUUUUUGGUUUUAGUGUGCAGAUGCUGAAAAUUGUUUCACUAUGUUGAAAUUAAUAAAACAUACGAAAAGACAAUUAGGAAUGCUGAAAAUUAAUUAGACUAUGUGCUAAAAAUAUUAUUUUAGAAUGUUGAAAAUUAAAAUAUAAUUGUUGAAAAUAUGCUGAAAAUGAUAUUAAAUUGCUGGAAAUUGUUGAAAAUAAGCUGAAAAUGAUGUUUCAUCACUGAAAAUUAUUUUAGGAUGCUAAAACAAACUGAUCCUUUUAUUUAGCCAAAAAAUUGUGUCAAGGGCACUGAAAACUGAAAAUUAAUAAAUGUGCUGAAAUAUUGUAAGAAAGAAGAAGAUUGUCGAAAUAUAUGUUAUUUUAAUAUUGAGACUGAUUUAAUAUGGCCAAAAUAGUCACACGUAGGAUACAAAAAUUAUUUACAAUGUUAGAAGAUAAAAUAUGUCGCGAUCAUAUUUUUAGUCGAAAGUUGGUUAAUGAUUCCUAUUGCAUGCUUUCUACAUGACAAGCAAUUUAAUUAACGAAUCCUAAAUUAUGUUUGCCUAAGAGAUGCACAUAGCACAUAAAUCACAUAAUCCCCGCCCCCACUCCCAUAAUUUCACCAGUGUUAUAGAGUUUAUACAAUAAUUAUUACAAACUACAUAAAUGAAUUUAAAAGACAGGCUAAGUGGGAUAGUCCUUAAACCAAUCCCUUAGCAACUCUUUAGGUUCCUCAAAUUAUUUUGUUUCUCAUCCAACCUGCUAAGCAUAAGACAACAACCAAAACCAACCCAAAAAUACAAAUGUAACUUUGGUAGCCCAUAACCAACCAUUGGCGCUGUCGAGAUCCUAAGGAUCUCAAGAAUCCCAAGCAGGCUCGCGCCAACGGGGUUAUGAGAUACACAAAGAUUAUUUCGUAACAACACUACAACAAUGGGGAAACACUCACUUACAAAUAAGGAAGAAAACAUAUCACAUCAACAAAAGCAAAUACUUGAACACAACAAGUCAUAAAGAUGCAUGGAACAAAUAGAAGGCUUAUGACGACGAGCAUUUUAAGUAAUCAAAAAGAACAUACUCAUAUAAAAUGAUAUAAAAGAAGACAAUGCAUGGCUAGAGAAAACUAACCAGUCAAUAACACAAUGACUAAUGAAAUUGAACUUUUCAAAGUAGAUGAAUAAUUGUAACAACAAGCAAGAACCAACCGUCUCUCAAAGUAGCAGCAAGCAAAAUUUAACACUCAGAUGUAGUGUAAUAGAGUGUAGAAGUCUAUGAGUUUUCGUAUAGGGAGUAGGAGACGAUGAUAA